ACACGUCUACAUUAGAUACCCGGGUAGUCCCAGCCGUAAACUAUGCGCGUUAGGUGUAUCGGUGACCACGAGUCACCGAGGUGCCGAAGGGAAACCGUGAAACGUGCCGCCUGGGAAGUACGGUCGCAAGGCUGAAACUUAAAGGAAUUGGCGGGGAGCACCACAACGGGUGGAGCCUGCGGUUUAAUUGGACUCAACGCCGGGAAGCUCACCGGAUAAGACAGCGGAAUGAUUGCCGGGCUGAAGACUCUGCAUGACUAGCUG
RNAcentral lists this ribosomal RNA (264 nucleotides) under uncultured archaeon. RNAcentral's name for it is "partial 16S ribosomal RNA". It matches the Rfam family "Archaeal small subunit ribosomal RNA", at positions 717 to 982 of the family's 1478-position model. The record is from RNAcentral.